GACGAACGCUGGCGGCGUGCCUAAUACGUGCAAGUUGAGCGCUGAAGGUUGGUACUUGUACCAACUGGAUGAGCAGCGAACGGGUGAGUAACGCGUGGGGAAUCUGCCUUUGAGCGGGGGACAACAUUUGGAAACGAAUGCUAAUACCGCAUAAAAACUUUAAACACAAGUUUUAAGUUUGAAAGAUGCAAUUGCAUCACUCAAAGAUGAUCCCGCGUUGUAUUAGCUAGUUGGUGAGGUAAAGGCUCACCAAGGCGAUGAUACAUAGCCGACCUGAGAGGGUGAUCGGCCACAUUGGGACUGAGACACGGCCCAAGCUCCUACGGGAGGCAGCAGUAGGGAAUCUUCGGCAAUGGACGAAAGUCUGACCGAGCAACGCCGCGUGAGUGAAGAAGGUUUUCGGAUCGUAAAACUCUGUUGGUAGAGAAGAACGUUGGUGAGAGUGGAAAGCUCAUCAAGUGACGGUAACUACCCAGAAAGGGACGGCUAACUACGUG
Molecule: ribosomal RNA, 497 nt
Filed under: uncultured bacterium
Lineage: Bacteria
Description: partial 16S ribosomal RNA
Rfam family: Bacterial small subunit ribosomal RNA
Source: RNAcentral